This 165-nucleotide ribosomal RNA is filed under the name uncultured bacterium. RNAcentral describes it as "partial 16S rRNA". It matches the Rfam family "Bacterial small subunit ribosomal RNA", at positions 355 to 511 of the family's 1533-position model. The record is from RNAcentral.
UAGGGAAUCUUCCACAAUGGGCGAAAGCCUGAUGGAGCAACGCCGCGUGUGUGAUGAGGGGGUUUCGGCUCGUAAAACACUGUUGUAAGAGAAGAAUGACAUUGAGAGUAACUGUUCAAUGUGUGACGGUAUCUUACCAGAAAGGAACGGCUAAAUACGUGCCAG